Molecule: non-coding RNA, 23 nt
Filed under: Trypanosoma brucei brucei
Lineage: Eukaryota; Euglenozoa; Kinetoplastea; Trypanosomatida; Trypanosomatidae
Source: RNAcentral
AGUGAUUAUAAUAGAUAGGUGGU